This 466-nucleotide ribosomal RNA is filed under the name Meyerozyma guilliermondii. RNAcentral's name for it is "eukaryotic LSU rRNA". It matches the Rfam family "Eukaryotic large subunit ribosomal RNA", at positions 73 to 544 of the family's 3401-position model. The record is from RNAcentral. Lineage: Eukaryota; Fungi; Ascomycota; Pichiomycetes; Serinales; Debaryomycetaceae.
UGCCCCUUUAGUUAGCGGCGAGUGAGCGGCAAAAGCUCAAAUUUGAAAUCUGGCACCUUCGGUGUCCGAGUUGUAAUUUGAAGAUUGUAACCUUGGGGUUGGCUCUUGUCUAUGUUUCUUGGAACAGGACGUCACAGAGGGUGAGAAUCCCGUGCGAUGAGAUGCCCAAUCCUAUGUAAGGUGCUUUCGAAGAGUCGAGUUGUUUGGGAAUGCAGCUCUAAGUGGGUGGUAAAUUCCAUCUAAAGCUAAAUAUUGGCGAGAGACCGAUAGCGAACAAGUACAGUGAUGGAAAGAUGAAAAGAACUUUGAAAAGAGAGUGAAAAAGUACGUGAAAUUGUUGAAAGGGAAGGGUUUGAGAUCAGACUCGAUAUUUUGUGAGCCUUGCCUUCGUGGCGGGGUGACCCGCAGCUUAUCGGGCCAGCAUCGGUUUGGGCGGUAGGAUAAUGGCGUAGGAAUGUGACUUUGC